AUUGAACGCUGGCGGCAGGCCUAACACAUGCAAGUCGAGCGGAGCGGCGGACGGGUGAGGAAUGCCUAGGAAUCUGCCUGGUAGUGGGGGAUGACGUCCGGAACCGGGCACUAAUACCGCAUACUAGCGGCUUAGGCUAGUUCGGAUUAGCUAGUGGGUGGGGAAAAGGCUUACCAGGGCGACGAUCCGUAACUGGUCUGAGAGGAUGAGCAGUCACACUGGAACUGAGACACGGUCCAGACUCCUACGGGAGGCAGCAGUGGGGAAUAUUGGACAAGGGGCGAAAGCCUGAUCCAGCCAUGCCGCGUGUGUGAAGAAGGUCUUCGGAUUGUAAAGUACUUUAAGUUGGGAGGCGUUACCAACAGAAUAAGCACCGGCUAACUUCGUGCCAGCAGCCGCGGUAAUAC
Molecule: ribosomal RNA, 407 nt
Filed under: uncultured bacterium
Lineage: Bacteria
Description: partial 16S ribosomal RNA
Rfam family: Bacterial small subunit ribosomal RNA
Source: RNAcentral